This is a non-coding RNA of Zootoca vivipara (common lizard), 2145 nucleotides long. Lineage: Eukaryota; Metazoa; Chordata; Lepidosauria; Squamata; Lacertidae. The record is from RefSeq and is a predicted model, not a curated record.
CUUUUAGCUAGUUUUGGGCUUUUGUGUGUAGCAAAACCACUGAUCGCAAAACAAAUGAUUGAUUGCAUGCACUCAGAUGCAGAAGUUGGUAGCAGAGGGCUCCUUUCACAAGUGACACUAUCUCACGGCAGUUCACAACAUAGGACAAGAUACAGAGAAACAAUGUAAAAAAUGGUUUAUCUUCAUGUUGACAGCAGCCAACAAUCUAGUGUGUUUGUUCUCUCAAACUCCGGCAGUCAAUUACAUUCAGGAUGCAUUGCUUCGAAACCAAGGAUUAAUUUCUUCGUGAAGGUUUUUCUCCCCUGAAAAAGCCAAGCCUUAGCUUAAAAGAAGACGUCCGAUUUUCUGACACAUGUAACUGAGCUGUCCGGCUGACCGAGAAGCCUCUCCUCCAUCCUGCCUCACAUCUAGAUCGAUAGCAGGGGCUUAAUCGCAUUGCCUUGCUCCCUCUUCAUUUCCUCUGGUUUAGGGGCAUUUCAGACAUGAAUAACAUAAUGCUAUUGUGAAUGUUAUUUUAGUGUCAGAAUUGGAGAGUGUUUCAGAAUGAAACUUACCAUGUGUGUGUGUGUGUGUUAGUGGUGGGAAUCUGGCCUAAUGAGUGCUCCUGGCAAGUCAUAUUUCAUUGUUCUUCUUUUUCUUUUUUUAAAAGAGAGACAGGCAGGAAAUCACGAUCAGCCGUCGAAAACAGCACAUUUCAUAAUCUAAAAAUAAAUUAAGCUCCAAACUGGGUGGCAUAAGCAAACUGGCUCGCCUGCAUCAUUGUUUAAAGUGAUAUGAAUGAGCAGGCCAGGGCAGGGAAAGCUCAGCUGAUGUAGUAACAGACGCUUGAGGUGCUAUUUGGUGGGGCCAUAUUCUUUGAGCGACUUCAGACAUGACACCCAAGGCCUUUUGCGCUCUCUGAAUUCAAGUACCCCUUUGACGGGCUGCUGCUGCAGCUCCCAAGGUGGGUACAGAAUUCUCACAUAGCACCGGGCUCCAACUUGCAAGAUUUUAUUUAAUGACAUCCUUGCCUGGGGCAAAUGAGCAAAUGAGAAAACAAACAAACAAACAAACAGAGCUAGCUGCCAACAUAAACCCAAAAUGAACAAAAAGGCUGACAGGAAAAAGUAUGCAAAAAUAACACAUAAUUUAAUUAAUAUACAUGGGGGGUUGUUUAUUUAUUUAAUAACAUUGAUCUCAUAUAGAUAUAGAUAUGCAUGUACCAUGCUUAGAUUUUUAGGUUGACCUUGUAUUAUUUAGUUUAUCAAAUUGCAUGAUAUUUUUUGCAUAUUUUCCCCAGUGAGAGCCUGUCUUGGGAGGACUUUGGCAGCACCUCUAAUCCCGUGGAAGCUGCAGAUGCCCAGAGCCUUGGCAGCUCCUUCCUUUCAGAACAAUAUUGCUUGGCAGACAGCCCCGAAUGAGACCCCAUUUUGAAAGUAGCGCUAUCGAUGGGAACAGAAACAUUGCCCCUAAAAUCCACUUCGCUGUGAAAAUAUUCACUCUUGUUUAUUCCUUUAAGACGAAAUGGGCGAUCCCUUCACAUCAAAAAUCCCUCAUUCUUCAACAGCAUUUUCAGGGUCUGACAAAGUAUUUAAUUCUUAGACUGCAUACGCAUUUGCCAUUCACUCAGGUUCCUGUGCAAUUCCCACCUCUGUUUUUUUUAAUCUGUUGACACAGGACAUUACCCACGACCUCAGGCAUCUCAAAGUUUCCUCUGAAAUACUGCAUUUCGAUCCCAUUUUCCCCAAGCCAGCUUCACUCUGACUUGAGAACUAAUAAUGAAGCAGAUGUUGCAGAUAAUUAUUAUGCUAUUUUUGUGAUAUACAAAUGACACGAGAAAACUUGGUACGCUUGUUUGUAUAACACUAUUCUUGUUUAUAAAACCCAAUUUAAAAAAAGAAAAGAACUGUAGGCUUACUCAAUGCACAAGUGAAUUCUAGGUGUGUACAAUUGAAACAAAGCAGAUUUCUGGGUACAGAGAUGGAGUGGGGAAACCAGCCAGGUAAUGCAGGGUAAUGUACACACACACACACACACACACACACACACACACACACACACCAUUUCCACUCACUGGUGCCGACAUAUAGCAGGAGACUUUGAUACACAUUGAAGUGUGCUGUUGUGUACAGCGGAAUACCAUAGCUGCCAUGUUCCGGCCUGAGA